UACGUAGGGUGCAAGCGUUAAUCGGAAUUACUGGGCGUAAAGCGUGCGCAGGCGGUUUUGUAAGUCUGACGUGAAAGCCCCGGGCUCAACCUGGGAAUUGCGUUGGAGACUGCAAGGCUUGAAUCUGGCAGAGGGGGGUAGAAUUCCACGUGUAGCAGUGAAAUGCGUAGAGAUGUGGAGGAACACCGAUGGCGAAGGCAGCCCCCUGGGUCAAGAUUGACGCUCAUGCACGAAAGCGUGGGGAGCAAGCAGG
This 253-nucleotide ribosomal RNA is filed under the name uncultured bacterium. RNAcentral's name for it is "partial 16S ribosomal RNA". It matches the Rfam family "Bacterial small subunit ribosomal RNA", at positions 524 to 776 of the family's 1533-position model. The record is from RNAcentral.